UGCCAGCCGCCGCGGUAAUAUGGAGGGUGCAAGCGUUAAUCGGAAUUACUGGGCGUAAAGCGCGCGUAGGUGGAUAAUUAAGUCAGAUGUGAAAUCCCAGGGCUCAACCCUGGAACUGCAUUUGAUACUGGUUAUCUUGAGUACAGUAGAGGGAGGUGGAAUUUCAGGUGUAGCGGUGAAAUGCGUAGAUAUCUGAAGGAACAUCAGUGGCGAAGGCGCCUAUCUGGCCAGAGACUGACACUGAGGUACGAAAGCGUGGGUAGCGAACAGGAUUAGAUA
RNAcentral lists this ribosomal RNA (279 nucleotides) under uncultured bacterium. Its description in RNAcentral is "partial 16S ribosomal RNA". It matches the Rfam family "Bacterial small subunit ribosomal RNA", at positions 506 to 784 of the family's 1533-position model. The record is from RNAcentral.